RNAcentral lists this ribosomal RNA (468 nucleotides) under uncultured bacterium. RNAcentral describes it as "partial 16S ribosomal RNA". It matches the Rfam family "Bacterial small subunit ribosomal RNA", at positions 28 to 507 of the family's 1533-position model. The record is from RNAcentral.
GACGAACGCUGGCGGCGUGCUUAACACAUGCAAGUCGAACGGAAAGGCCCUGCUUUUGUGGGGUGCUCAAGUGCCGAACGGGUGAGUAACACGCGAGUAACCUCCCCUUGACUGUGGGAUAACUUCAGGGGACAGGGGCUAAUACCGGAUAUGAGCUCCUGCUGCAUAGGGGGGGUUGGUAAGUUUCGGCGGUUGGGGAUGGACUCGCGGCUUAUCAGCUUGUUGGUGGGGUAGUGGCUUACCAGGGCUUUGACGGGUAGCCGGACUGAGAGGGUGACCGGCCACAUUGGGACUGAGAUACGGGCCAGACUCCUACGGGAGGCAGCAGUGGGGAAUAUUGCAAAAUGGGCGGAAGCCUGAUGCAGCAACGCCGCGUGCGGGAUGACGGCUUUUGGGUUGUAAACCGCUUUAGACUGUGACGCAGCGUGAGUGACGGUAAUGAGUAAAGAAGCACCGGCUAACUACGUG